This 228-nucleotide long non-coding RNA is filed under the name Medicago truncatula (barrel medic). RNAcentral's name for it is "long non-coding RNA (MTRU_LNC000501)". Lineage: Eukaryota; Viridiplantae; Streptophyta; Magnoliopsida; Fabales; Fabaceae. The record is from RNAcentral.
ACUUUUAACCCUAAUUCCCAAAUUCUCAAAAACGAAAACCUACAACAUGUUAAAUCCAAUUUUCAGAAUCAAUGACUUAAGAUUAUUGAAUGUUAGUCCCACCCUUACCUUAUAACUCAAAAUCGCCGCUUUCUAGGUCUUUCUCCCUUCUCUUGGCUUUUUCUCCCUUUUCUCCAAAAUUGAUCGUACGUUAUGUUUUUUUUCUAAACUAUGUUUCUCCUAUUUAUA